RNAcentral lists this transfer RNA (73 nucleotides) under Stegodyphus mimosarum. It matches the Rfam family "tRNA". Rfam says of the family: Transfer RNA (tRNA) molecules are approximately 80 nucleotides in length. Their secondary structure includes four short double-helical elements and three loops (D, anti-codon, and T loops). Further hydrogen bonds mediate the characteristic L-shaped molecular structure. tRNAs have two regions of fundamental functional importance: the anti-codon, which is responsible for specific mRNA codon recognition, and the 3' end, to which the tRNAs corresponding amino acid is attached (by aminoacyl-tRNA synthetases). tRNAs cope with the degeneracy of the genetic code in two manners: having more than one tRNA (with a specific anti-codon) for a particular amino acid; and 'wobble' base-pairing, i.e. permitting non-standard base-pairing at the 3rd anti-codon position. Lineage: Eukaryota; Metazoa; Arthropoda; Arachnida; Araneae; Eresidae. The record is from Rfam by way of RNAcentral.
ACCUUCGUGGUGUAGUAGUCAGCACGCAGGGCGCGUAUUCCAGAGAUCCGUGGUUCGAGUCCCGGCGAAGGCG